UGUUGCAAACGUUUAGUGCAUUUGGCUGCUAACCAAAAGGUUGGUGGUUCAAGUUCACCCA
Molecule: transfer RNA, 61 nt
Filed under: Loxodonta africana (African savanna elephant)
Lineage: Eukaryota; Metazoa; Chordata; Mammalia; Proboscidea; Elephantidae
Rfam family: tRNA
About the family: Transfer RNA (tRNA) molecules are approximately 80 nucleotides in length. Their secondary structure includes four short double-helical elements and three loops (D, anti-codon, and T loops).
Source: Rfam by way of RNAcentral